This 344-nucleotide ribosomal RNA is filed under the name uncultured bacterium. Its description in RNAcentral is "partial 16S ribosomal RNA". It matches the Rfam family "Bacterial small subunit ribosomal RNA", at positions 338 to 699 of the family's 1533-position model. The record is from RNAcentral.
CCUACGGGAGGCAGCAGUAGGGAAUAUUGCUCAAUGGGGGAAACCCUGAAGCAGCAACGCCGCGUGGAGGAUGAAGGUUUUCGGAUUGUAAACUCCUUUUUUUAGAGAAGAUAAUGUCGGUAUCUAACGACUAAUCACCGGCUAACUCCGUGCCAGCAGCAGCGGUAAUACGGAGGGUGCAAGCGUUACUCGGAAUCACUGGGCGUAAAGAGCGCGUAGGCGGGUUAGCAAGUCAGAUGUGAAAUCUUAUGGCUUAACCAUAGAACUGCAUUUGAUACUGUUAUUCUAGAGUAUAGACGAGGUAGGUGGAAUGCUUGGUGUAGGGGUAAAAUCCGUAGAGAUCA